ACACUGAACCCAGACUUCUGCUGAAAGCAGGCGCUGUUCCGACCGUGUUUCCUCAUAGCAAGCAGCCAGCGAGAAGAGGGCGCAAGAGGAAGGCGAUAUCCGCGCUUGAAGAACAACAGGCAAGCUCGCUUCGAGCAGGGGGAGCUGAGGCCACAGGAGGGAGCAAGAGGAAGAGGAGACCUGCCAGCAGAGCUGCUGCUUCCCUGCAGACCAGGAAAUCUAAAGGCAAAAGAGUCCAGAAAAGGAAGAGGCGUGGGAGAAAUGUAAUUGACCCAGAUUCAGUGCACUGUCCAUCAUUGGCGUCCUCUUCCAGCCUGUUGUUGGGAAAUCACUCUGAUAGCCAGCUGGCUGAUACCCAGUAAUCUCCGUAAAUAUUCCGUAUGAAGACGAAGAGCCCACGGGCCCUGGCUGGGCUUGGGCUGGGCUGCGCACCCGCUCGGCUGGUGGGUGAUGGGAUUGAGUGCUCGGUCACAUGACCUUUCAGGGGUGAACUACACUUCAUGACUCCUCUGGCAGAGCUGCCUGCUUUUACGUUUCUCAUCGAUGGAGAUAACUACCCGACUGUAAAAUCACUGGGCAUCUCUUCAGCCUUACUCAGGGUCGAUUACUGGGGUAGAAAACAUCUAACAAGAAAUAUUGAGAUCUGUAGAUUUGAAAGGCACUUGUGUCUGAUGUUUAGAGAGGAUGUUUUGUUUAAUGACUUGGAAACUAAGCAAGUGAAUAUUUACUUUCUUUUUUCAAUUUUAGGCUUGUAAAUCAGGCAUGCAGAGGUCACUGGCUCUGUGCCAUCCCUCAGAAAGAGUACAGCCAGUUUCUCAUGUAUAACAUUUAAGCACCGGCUUCUUAAACAGCUUAACAACUGUAAGUCUUGACAAAGACCCACAGUAUUUACUCAUUUCUUUCAUGAAAAUAAUUGGGAAUUAAAUCAUCUUUUGAUGAUGGCUUAGGUGACACAAACUUGCGUCCCGUUCUAAUGUUGUGUUUUUUGUUUUACAAGACUAGAGACAAAACAGCAGUUUCCGUGUCCAGAGAGACGCUCAGAUUCUAUGCAGACGCAUCGAGCCAGAUGCCCAGUCAGCCCCUGCAGCAGGAACCCGAGCCGGCGGAGCCGUCCUGGCUGUUCGAGGGAGUCGUGGGCCGGACGUGGGAGGGUGCCGGCGCAGGUGUCCGGCCCGCCCUGGACUCGCGGAGCAGCGUGGCCGGCUCCCGGUCCGUCCCCCGGGAGAGCGGCGUCAAGCAGGAGGGGCCCGGAGAUCAGCGGGACCUGGAGCUGCGGCGCUGGCCGUCCGAGUGCGUGAAGGAGGAGGAAGAGGAGUGUCCGCUGGGAAUACCCGGACUGCCGAAGCCGGAGCCUGUGGAGACGGCGGAGCUUCCUGGGAGCAGCCCGCCGGCCGGGAUUCUCCCGGUCCUCGUGAAGACGGAAGCACCGGACGUCGGGCCCGCGCUCCCGAGCCUCAAGCCGGAGAGGAGCAGCCCUCCCCACGCCCGCUCGGAGUGUCGGCUGCAGACGUGCCCCGAAUCCGCCCGGGAUACGCGGGAGAGCUGGUCUGGUCCAGCUGAGCGGCCGGAUCUCGGAUCCCAGCUUCCGGAUAUUAAAGAGGAGAAUCCGGGCUGGAGGCUCCCGCUGGAGAGCGCCCUUGUCCCAGCGGAGGACAGGAGGGACAGCCGGCCCGCGCGCCUCCUCUCGCCCCUCUCGCCCGCGCAGGCCAUCCUGGUCCGGCUCCCACCCACGGGCACCGCCCGCGCCCCAGUCCAGCUGCUCCUGCUGCCCGCGCUGAUCCGUGGGGUCCCGGGAGAGCAGCCCAGCUCGGCGUCCAGGCCCGCCAUGUCCAGUCCGGGCUCGGGUGUGUCCACGCCCGUCUUGAAUCCCGUGCCGACUGCGGUGUCCAGUCUGGUGUCCAGGCCCAUGUCCAGCCCGGUGCCGACCGCGGUGUCCAGUACGGUACCAACCACAGUGUGCAGUCCGAUGUUGACCGCUGUGUCCAAGCCCAUGUCCAGCUCGGUGUCCAGCUCGGUGCCCAGGCCCGUGUCCAGCUCGGUGUCCAGCUCCGGCCUGGCGCUGCUGCCGGUGCGAGAGGCUCUUCCAGCAGGAGUGGAAACUGCUCCGGCACCAGGCCGCCCGCCGCAGCCGCCCGUCCUGCCCCCGGCCCCCCCGCCCCAGUGAGCGUCCGCUGCAGGCCCUGCGCGCCGCCAGGGGGCUCCUGGGAUACGCGCUGGCCUCAUGCGGAUCUGUUGUUACUCCUGCCUCUCCGUACCGGCUGAACUGGACGUGUGUGUGCAGGCACAGGUGUGCGUGUUGAGCCUUUUCGGAGGCUCAUUCUUCUAGGCUGGGAACUUUUCCUGCUGUUUUUCAACAAAGCAGCCGCCAGGCAGCCGGAAUCUGAGGUCAAACAGUACGGACUCUCGGCAGGCGUUCCCCUAGCACAGCACGCGAGAGGGCGGGGCAGCGGAGCUCCUCGUACGUGUACGGGGUGUUAAACCCCUCCGCCGUCUCGGAUUGUGUCACGUCAAGAUGUUUUUGGGGAAAUAAAGAUGUGAAGAAUUUGAAAGGGCUGAAGGUGUAGUGUUGUGUGUAGCAGUAGCUGGGGACAUUUUCACACCUUUCCCCACAGGGGGUGAGAGGUAAAAGGGAAAGAGCAAGCGAACAGAGAGACGGAUCUGCUGGGAGAACCGAGGGUGAGAAACGCACGAAGCCCCGCUCAACAUGGCCGCUGACUGAACCGCUUCCGUUUCCGGGGGCACGCAGCGCAAGCGCCAUUUCGUGGCACCGCGGUGACGACAGUGCUGCGCGUCGCAUGGCGUCAUAGGGACGCGACGCAAGGCUGCCAAUUAGAAGUGAGGGUAAGAGUGUCCCAUCUUUCCCAAUACUUGUUUAUGUCCGGAAGACUGCGAGAGAGCAUCUAACGGGACUUUGUUGUUCACUUUUUUUUUAAAAAGGGAAAGCGUUGCUAUGUUAAAAAAACCAAAUAACUUGACUUAUUAAAUAGUCCGAGUGGGGCGGACCGCAGUUCUGUUCCGUGGAAGACGGCCCGAAUUCUGCUGAGCCUCCGGAGGCGACACGUCCGGACCGGGUCGCGCUUGGCGUCUGGAAGGUGGCGGAGCUGUUUUCUCCGAGCCCGAGCAGGCCGCGGGGUUGGGCACCAGCUGACGCCCGGAGUACCAUGAGCGCCAGGCGGCUGGGCUGGGUGCUGGGGGCGCCGGGGGGGAGCGGCGCCGGGGCCUUCGGCGCCGGCAGGAGGAAGCCCAGCCUGGGCUCCGGGCUCAGGGGCGACCGCGCCGAGGACACGAAAGCCGGCGGCGACAGCGGUCUCGCCCUGCCCUACCUGAAGGAGCGCCUCGCCCCCACCAUCCACAGCACGCUGGCCGCCGCCGUGGACACGCUGCUGGGCGAGGUGGCGCGGGUGGUGGGCGACAGGCUGGCCCAGGCGCAGCUGGAGGCGGCCAGCAGGGACCGGGAGAACGAGAGCCUGCGGGUGCGGCUGGAGGUGUCGGAGGCCGAGCUCAAGGCGCUGCGGGAGUGCGUCAGUAGCGCCCAGAGGUUCAUCGACCAGCUGCCCUUCCCCGGGCCCGGCCCGGAGCAGCCGGCCCUGGAGCCCAGCGGCGGGGGGGGGGAGGACUGCAGCCGCUUCUUCGGCGAGCGGGACGCCGGGCCCAGUCCGGCCGGCCUCUCAGCCGCGCUGCCCGGCUGCGCUUCCGACCUGGACGGCGCCCUGGGGGCCCAGCUGCCCGAGUUCGGCUCCGGCGACGAGCUGAAGGAGUGCCGCCUCUCCAUCCAGCCGGACGGCACAGUGACCAACCACGACCUGCUGGACGGCUUCGCCAAUCACACGCCGAUGCAGAGCCCCUGGUCUGACAUGUCCAUGCAAGGUACAGUCUGAUCCGCUCCAGGUGUGACAGUGCUGUCAGUCAGACUCCCAGUG
Molecule: long non-coding RNA, 3920 nt
Organism: Lepisosteus oculatus (spotted gar)
Lineage: Eukaryota; Metazoa; Chordata; Actinopteri; Semionotiformes; Lepisosteidae
Source: Ensembl